This 253-nucleotide ribosomal RNA is filed under the name uncultured bacterium. RNAcentral's name for it is "partial 16S ribosomal RNA". It matches the Rfam family "Bacterial small subunit ribosomal RNA", at positions 524 to 776 of the family's 1533-position model. The record is from RNAcentral.
UACGUAGGGGGCAAGCGUUGUCCGGAUUUACUGGGCGUAAAGCGCGCGCAGGCGGAUUGGUAAGUCCGGGGUGAAAUCUCACGGCUCAACUGUGAGCGGUCCCCGGAUACUGCCAGUCUCGAGGUGUCUAGAGGAGAGCGGAAUUCCCGGUGUAGUGGUGGAAUGCGUAGAUAUCGGGAAGAACACCAGUGGCGAAAGCGGCUCUCUGGGGACCACCUGACGCUGAGGCGCGAAAGCGUGGGGAGCGAACCGG